GGGCAACCUGAUGAAACUGGGGAGGAGAUGAACCAGGAAACACACCUCAAUGUUCAAGAUCCCAAUGUACAAGUAUACAAGAGGAGGAGCAAGGAAGAGGACGAAGCUCGUGAUCAAAUAGGAAUGAAUCUUAACAGUCAACAGUAAGGAAAGAAGCAUGAUUGGAAAGAAGGAGACCCACCAACACCACGAAUUAAGUGGCCAAAAUCAGAUUGUAAGAAAGAAUGGAUCCAGUUUCAUGAAUAUACAUCAAAAGUUUUACAGCAUUAGCAGGAGAUGUAUAUAGAAAAAAGCGACCUUAAUCUUUGCAAUGAUGAAAGUUAUGUUCAGAAUAGAAGAACAGACAAAGGUCAAAGUCAGGCAAUGAAAGAAAACAGAAAAGCGAAAUGCCAAACUGAGGAGAGAACAACGCAACUUUACAAAGUGUUACAAUAAGCAGAUACAUGAACGAGAGGUAUUAAAAGAACUAAGAGAUGUCAACAGGAAAAGAGUACAAACGCUGAAAAGAACAGAAAACUUAAGGAAUCGAAGGAGCACAAAAGAGAACUCAACUUACAGCUAUAAAUCCAUUUGGCUUUGUAAAGACACAUGUUGGAUAUAAAAGAUCAGGCCAAUUCGAUUGCCCAUAAAGAAGAGGUUGAACAUUAUUUAGGAGAUAUCCACAGCGAUGCCGAAAGACAAAGAGAUCUUGGAGACCAACGAAGAUUGAUAAGUCCAGAUUAGCCAACAGUAGAGUUUGAUAUGUCGGAACACAAAAAUCAUAAAAUGAUGUCAACUUGAAAGAAAACGAGAGACAUAAGCAUAAUAGAAAUAAGCACACAAUGAACAACAUCACACGUCACACAUACAACAUUAACAAAGACAGAACUAAGCACACAUAAUCAACACUACCUAGAAAACAUUAACAAAGAUAAAAAAACAAACACGCAAUAUCCAAUAUCACCUCGAUUACACAAACUGAAACAAACAUGCAAACAUUCGCAUCACUUUAACAACAGAAACAAAGACAGAAACAAGCACACAAUUACCAAAAUCGCCGACACAACAAAAACAAGCACAUAAUAAGCAACAAGGCCAAACACAAUCAACUUGAUCGCGACACAACAAACAAAGACAGAAACGAAAAGGCAAUGACUAACAUAACCGAGACAAAACAAAACAAGACAGAAACAAACAAGCAAUAACCAACAUCACCGAGACAAC
This 1203-nucleotide long non-coding RNA is filed under the name Mytilus galloprovincialis (Mediterranean mussel). The record is from RNAcentral. Lineage: Eukaryota; Metazoa; Mollusca; Bivalvia; Mytilida; Mytilidae.